AGUGAACGCUGGCGGUAGGCCUAACACAUGCAAGUCGAACGGCAGCACAGUAAGAGCUUGCUCUUACGGGUGGCGAGUGGCGGACGAGUGAGGAAUACAUCGGAAUCUACUUUUUCGUGGGGGAUAACGUAGGGAAACUUACGCUAAUACCGCGUACGACCUACGGGUGAAAGCAGGGGAUCUUCGGACCUUGCGCGAUUGAAUGAGCCGAUGUCGGAUUAGCUAGUUGGCGGGGUAAAGGCCCACCAAGGCGACGAUCCGUAGCUGGUCUGAGAGGAUGAUCAGCCACACUGGAACUGAGACACGGUUCAGACUCCUACGGGAGGCAGCAGUGGGGAAUAUUGGACAAUGGGCGAAAGCCUGAUCCAGCCAUACCGCGUGGGUGAAGAAGGCCUUCGGGUUGUAAAGCCCUUUUGUUGGGAAAGAAAAGCAGCAGGUUAAUACCCCGCUGUUCUGACGGUACCCAAAGAAUAAGCACCGGCUAACUUCGUG
RNAcentral lists this ribosomal RNA (492 nucleotides) under uncultured bacterium. RNAcentral describes it as "partial 16S ribosomal RNA". It matches the Rfam family "Bacterial small subunit ribosomal RNA", at positions 29 to 507 of the family's 1533-position model. The record is from RNAcentral.